Molecule: unclassified non-coding RNA, 346 nt
Filed under: soil metagenome
Description: partial contains 5.8S ribosomal RNA, internal transcribed spacer 2, and large subunit ribosomal RNA
Rfam family: 5.8S ribosomal RNA (bases 1-120)
Source: RNAcentral
GAUGAAGAACGCAGCGAAAUGCGAUACGUAAUGUGAAUUGCAGAAUUCAGUGAAUCAUCGAGUCUUUGAACGCACAUUGCGCCCCCUGGUAUUCCGGGGGGCAUGCCUGUCCGAGCGUCAUUGCUGCCCUCAAGCACGGCUUGUGUGUUGGGCCUCCGUCCUCCUCCCGGGGGACGGGCCCGAAAGGCAGCGGCGGCACCGCGUCCGGUCCUCGAGCGUAUGGGGCUUUGUCACCCGCUCUGUAGGCCCGGCCGGCGCCAGCCGACAACCAAUCAUCCUUUUUUCAGGUUGACCUCGGAUCAGGUAGGGAUACCCGCUGAACUUAAGCAUAUCAAUAAGCGGAGGA